RNAcentral lists this small RNA (20 nucleotides) under Arabidopsis thaliana (thale cress). RNAcentral describes it as "Ath_wt_05171". The record is from RNAcentral. Lineage: Eukaryota; Viridiplantae; Streptophyta; Magnoliopsida; Brassicales; Brassicaceae.
GCGCGCGACCUAUACCCGGC